CCUACGGGGGGCAGCAGUGGGGAAUAUUGCACAAUGGGGGAAACCCUGAUGCAGCGACGCCGCGUGAGUGAAGAAGUAUUUCGGUACGUAAAGCUCUAUCAGCAGGGAAGAAAAUGACGGUACCUGACUAAGAAGCCCCGGCUAACUACGUGCCAGCAGCCGCGGUAAUACGUAGGGGGCAAGCGUUAUCCGGAUUUACUGGGUGUAAAGGGAGCGUAGACGGCAGCGCAAGUCUGGAGUGAAAUCCCAUGGCUUAACCAUGGAACUGCUUUGGAAACUGUGCAGCUAGAGUGCAGGAGAGGUAAGCGGAAUUCCUAGUGUAGCGGUGAAAUGCGUAGAUAUUAGGAGGAACACCAGUGGCGAAGGCGGCUUACUGGACUGUAACUGACGUUGAGGCUCGAAAGCGUGGGGAGCAAACAGGAUUUGAUACCCGAGUAGUC
This 440-nucleotide ribosomal RNA is filed under the name uncultured bacterium. Its description in RNAcentral is "partial 16S ribosomal RNA". It matches the Rfam family "Bacterial small subunit ribosomal RNA", at positions 338 to 795 of the family's 1533-position model. The record is from RNAcentral.